UGUUGGGAAGGGNGAUCGGUGCGGGCCUCUUCGCUAUUACGCCCAGNUGNCGAAAGGGGGAUGNGCUGCAAGGCGAUUAAGUUGGGUAACGCCAGGGUUUUCCCAGUCACGACGUGUAAAACGACGGCCAGUGAAUUGUAAUACGACUCACUAUAGGGCGAANUNGGGCCCGACGUCGCAUGCUCCCGGCCGCCAUGGCGGCCGCGGGAAUUCGAUUAGAGUUUGAUCCCUGGCUCAGGAUGAACGCUGGCGGCGUGNNNNNCACAUGCAAGUCGAACGAAGCAAUCAGAAUGAAAUUUUCGGAUGGAUUUCUGGUUGACUGAGUGGCGGACGGGUGAGUAACGCGUGGAUAACCUGCCUCACACUGGGGGAUAACAGUUAGAAAUGGCUGCUAAUACCGCAUAAGCGCACAGUACCGCAUGGUACGGUGUGAAAAACUCCGGUGGUGUGAGAUGGAUCCGCGUCUGAUUAGUUAGUUGGCGGGGUAACGGCCCACCAAGACAGCGAUCAGUAGCCGACCUGAGAGGGUGACCGGCCACAUUGGGACUGAGACACGGCCCAAACUCCUACGGGAGGCAGCAGUGGGGAAUAUUGCACAAUGGGCGCAAGCCUGAUGCAGCCAUGCCGCGUGUAUGAAGAAGGCCUUCGGGUUGUAAAGUACUUUCAGCGGGGAGGAAGGGAGUAAAGUUAAUACCUUUGCUCAUUGACGUUACCCGCAGAAGAAGCACCGGCUAACUCCGUGCCAGCAGCCGCGGUAAUACGGAGGGUGCAAGCGUUAAUCGGAAUUACUGGGCGUAAAGCGCACGCAGGCGGUUUGUUAAGUCAGAUGUGAAAUCCCCGGGCUCAACCUGGGAACUGCAUCUGAUAAAUCACUAGUGAA
Molecule: ribosomal RNA, 880 nt
Filed under: uncultured bacterium
Lineage: Bacteria
Description: bacterial SSU rRNA
Rfam family: Bacterial small subunit ribosomal RNA (bases 211-880)
Source: RNAcentral